RNAcentral lists this ribosomal RNA (484 nucleotides) under uncultured bacterium. RNAcentral describes it as "partial 16S ribosomal RNA". It matches the Rfam family "Bacterial small subunit ribosomal RNA", at positions 30 to 507 of the family's 1533-position model. The record is from RNAcentral.
AUUGAACGCUGGCGGCAGGCCUAACACAUGCAAGUCGAGCGGAUGAAGGGAGCUUGCUCCUGGAUUCAGCGGCGGAGGGGUGAGUAAUGCCUAGGAAUCUGCCUGGUAGUGGGGGAUAACGUCCGGAAACGGGCGCUAAUACCGCAUACGUCCUGAGGGAGAAAGUGGGGGAUCUUCGGACCUCACGCUAUCAGAUGAGCCUAGGUCGGAUUAGCUAGUUGGUGGGGUAAAGGCCUACCAAGGCGACGAUCCGUAACUGGUCUGAGAGGAUGAUCAGUCACACUGGAACUGAGACACGGUCCAGACUCCUACGGGAGGCAGCAGUAGGGAAUAUUGGACAAUGGGCGAAAGCCUGAUCCAGCCAUGCCGCGUGUGUGAAGAAGGUCUUCGGAUUGUAAAGCACUUUAAGUUGGGAGGAAGGGCAGUAAGUUAAUACCUUGCUGUUUUGACGUUACCAACAGAAUAAGCACCGGCUAACUUCGUG